Long non-coding RNA from Ricinus communis (castor bean), 938 nucleotides. RefSeq lists it as uncharacterized. The record is from RefSeq and is a predicted model, not a curated record. The transcript has 3 exons. Lineage: Eukaryota; Viridiplantae; Streptophyta; Magnoliopsida; Malpighiales; Euphorbiaceae.
UGAGCAAUUUUUCUAGAAGUGCAAAUUAACUUUUGGUCCUUAGCAAGAGACCUAAAAUUUUCCUUCUUCCAUUUUUCUCAUCAUCGACGCCACCUCCCUCUCCCCCUGCACUUUCUAUUUCCGGUCACUGCCUUUGCCGCCCCUCUGUCCCUCGCCUAUGGGGAGCUACCCUCGACGUUGCUAGCCCAUUGCCGUUGUUUGUGCCGCCUUCUACAGUCGAGGGAGAGCUACUCGAGAGGAGGAAGCUUCAUUCCUCGCUGUCACCACUAAAAUAACCACAUGACGUUGUCUUUCCCUUAUUUGACACUGGAUUUGAGUUCCUCACCCUCCAAACCUAUAAGCAGGUCCUCCUUGCCAUUGAUCAAUCAUUUUCUAGCUCCUCUAAGCCUCAUCGGAAUCGAAGCUUUUCGACCUCGAUCCGUGGCUUCCGGUGAGUUUCAGGCCAAGACAUCUACAUUUCUUAACUCAUCACAGGUCAAGCUUCAUAUAGGCAUCUCCGGAUUCAAAAUCCAACACUGUUGGCAGUACCGGCUUUCGGACUUUGGUGUUUAACGAACGUGCAAAAGUUAUGGACCUAUUAUACGAGGGUAAAUGUUUAUAUUUUAUGGGAGGUUCAGCCAAAUUUUUGUUCGAAUUUCCGAGUCGGAAUUUCUUUAGGCGGUCUAAUAUAGGAGACUAGGCCUAGAAAAAAUUAUGAAUAUUUUAUUAAUUCAAUUAUUUUCGAGAACAGAUAAUCCGUCAGUCUAGCUAGCUUCACCCAAGGCGUAGGAGCAGACAACGGAACACGCAAAAUUAUGACAACUAGGUUUUUACCGACUUUCUCUUGACAACCCGAUUUCUUUCCUCUUCGAGCCUAUUGUAAUUAACUAUUUUCUUUUACAUUUCAAAUUAUUUGAAAUUCUAGAUUCUCCACAGUAAACCUGAAAUUUUAUAUUUUA